This 514-nucleotide ribosomal RNA is filed under the name Papilio dialis. Its description in RNAcentral is "partial 16S ribosomal RNA". The stretch from base 386 to 514 matches the Rfam family "Bacterial large subunit ribosomal RNA", at positions 2473 to 2602 of the family's 2925-position model. The record is from RNAcentral. Lineage: Eukaryota; Metazoa; Arthropoda; Insecta; Lepidoptera; Papilionidae.
UUUUUGAAAAUAAUUUAAAGUCUAAUACUGCCCACUGAUAAAUUAUUAAAGGGCUGCAGUAUUUUGACUGUACAAAGGUAGCAUAAUCAUUAGUCUCUUAAUUGGUGACUUGUAUGAAAGAUUGGAUGAAAUAUAUACUGUCUCUAUUUAAUUUAUAAAAUUUAAUUUUUUAGUAAAAAAGCUAAAAUGAAUUUAAAAGACGAGAAGACCCUAUAGAGUUUGAUAAUUUAUUUAAUUAUUAUUAAUAUAUAAAUUUUAAAAUUAAAAUUAAAUAAAUUAUUUUGUUGGGGUGAUAGAAAAAUUAAAUUAACUUUUUUUUAUUUUAUACAUUAAUUUAUGAAUGAAUGAUCCAUUAAUAAUGAUUAAAAGAAAAAAUUACCUUAGGGAUAACAGCGUAAUUUUUUUUUUUAGUUCAAAUAGGAAAAAAAGUUUGCGACCUCGAUGUUGGAUUAAAAUAAAAUUUAAAUGCAAAAGUUUAAAAUUUUGAUCUGUUCGAUCAUUAAAAUCUUACAUG